RNAcentral lists this ribosomal RNA (292 nucleotides) under uncultured bacterium. RNAcentral's name for it is "partial 16S ribosomal RNA". It matches the Rfam family "Bacterial small subunit ribosomal RNA", at positions 505 to 796 of the family's 1533-position model. The record is from RNAcentral.
GUGCCAGCAGCCGCGGUAAUACAGAGGUCCCAAGCGUUGUUCGGAUUCACUGGGCGUAAAGGGUGCGUAGGUGGUUGGGUAAGUCUGAUGUGAAAUCUCCGGGCUCAACCCGGAAAUGGCAUUGGAUACUAUUCGGCUAGAGGUUUGGAGGGGGGACUGGAAUUCUCGGUGUAGCAGUGAAAUGCGUAGAUAUCGAGAGGAACACCAGUGGCGAAGGCGAGUCCCUGGACAACACCUGACACUGAGGCACGAAAGCUAGGGGAGCAAACAGGAUUAGAUACCCUGGUAGUCC